This 700-nucleotide ribosomal RNA is filed under the name uncultured Alphaproteobacteria bacterium. RNAcentral's name for it is "bacterial SSU rRNA". It matches the Rfam family "Bacterial small subunit ribosomal RNA", at positions 92 to 827 of the family's 1533-position model. The record is from RNAcentral. Lineage: Bacteria; Pseudomonadati; Pseudomonadota; Alphaproteobacteria.
CUAGCGGCGGACGGGUUAGUAACGCGUGGGAACGUACCCUUUUCUACGGAAUAGCCUCGGGAAACUGAGAGUAAUACCGUAUACGCCCUUUGGGGGAAAGAUUUAUCGGAGAAGGAUCGGCCCGCGUUAGAUUAGAUAGUUGGUGGGGUAAUGGCCUACCAAGUCUACGAUCUAUAGCUGGUUUGAGAGGAUGAUCAGCAACACUGGGACUGAGACACGGCCCAGACUCCUACGGGAGGCAGCAGUGGGGAAUCUUAAACAAUGGGCGCAAGCCUGAUCUAGCCAUGCCGCGUGAGUGAAGAAGGCCUUAGGGUCGUAAAGCUCUUUCGCCUGUGAAGAUAAUGACUGUAGCAGGUAAAGAAACCCCGGCUAACUCCGUGCCAGCAGCCGCGGUAAUACGGAGGGGGUUAGCGUUGUUCGGAAUUACUGGGCGUAAAGCGCGCGUAGGCGGACAUUUAAGUCAGAGGUGAAAUCCCAGGGCUCAACCCUGGAACUGCCUUUGAUACUGGGUGUCUUGAGUUCGAGAGAGGUGAGUGGAAUUCCGAGUGUAGAGGUGAAAUUCGUAGAUAUUCGGAGGAACACCAGUGGCGAAGGCGGCUCACUGGCUCGAUACUGACGCUGAGGUGCGAAAGUGUGGGGAGCAAACAGGAUUAGAUACCCUGGUAGUCCACACCGUAAACGAUGAAUGCCAGUCGUCGGG